GACGAACGCUGGCGGCGUGCCUAACACAUGCAAGUCGAACGAAGUGGCGAACGGGUGAGUAAAGCGUAAUCAACCUGCCCUUCAGAGGGGGACAAAAGUUGGAAACGACUCCUAAUACCGCAUACUGAAGGAGGGGAUUGAGUCUGAUUAGCUAGUUGGAGGGGGAACGGCCCACCAAGGCGAUGCUUAGUAGCCGGUCUGGGAGGAUGAACGGCCACAUUGGGACUGGGGCACGGCCCAGACUCCUACGGGAGGCAGCAGUGGGGAAACUUCCGCAAUGGACGAAAGUCUGACGGAGCAACGCCGCGUGAGUGAUGACGGCCUUCGGGUUGUAAAGCUCUGUUAAUCGGGACGCGGUACCGGAAUAGAAAGCCACGGCUAACUACGUGCCAGCAGCCGCGGUAAUAC
This 408-nucleotide ribosomal RNA is filed under the name uncultured bacterium. Its description in RNAcentral is "partial 16S ribosomal RNA". It matches the Rfam family "Bacterial small subunit ribosomal RNA", at positions 28 to 526 of the family's 1533-position model. The record is from RNAcentral.